UACGUAGGGUGCGAGCGUUGUCCGGAAUUAUUGGGCGUAAAGGGCUCGUAGGCGGUUUGUCGCGUCGGGAGUGAAAACUCGGGGCUUAACCCCGAGCCUGCAGUGGAUACGGGCAGACUAGAGGUAGGUAGGGGAGAAUGGAAUUCCCGGUGUAGCGGUGAAAUGCGCAGAUAUCGGGAGGAACACCGGUGGCGAAGGCGGUUCUCUGGGCCUUACCUGACGCUGAGGAGCGAAAGCGUGGGGAGCGAACAGG
Molecule: ribosomal RNA, 253 nt
Filed under: uncultured bacterium
Lineage: Bacteria
Description: partial 16S ribosomal RNA
Rfam family: Bacterial small subunit ribosomal RNA
Source: RNAcentral